GAUGAAGAACGUAGCAAAAUGCGAUACUUGGUGUGAAUUGCAGAAUCCCGUGAACCAUCGAGUCUUUGAACGCAAGUUGCGCCCGAAGCCAUUAGGCCGAGGGCACGCCUGCCUGGGCGUCACACGUCGUUGCCCCCCCCAUCUACUCCUUCGGGAUUGCGGGGGGCGGAUGAUGGCCUCCCGUGUGCCUCGCCGCGCGGUUGGCAUAAAUACCAAGUCCUCGGCGACGCACGCCACGACAAUCGGUGGUUGCGAAACCUCGGUUGCCCGUCGUGUGCGGUCGUCGCGCAUCGAGGGCUCGAAAAAAUUGCCGGGUUCCGGCUCGGCUUUCAACGCGACCCCAGGUCAGGCGGGGUUACCCGCUGAAUUUAAGCAUAUCAAUAAGCGGAGGA
RNAcentral lists this unclassified non-coding RNA (392 nucleotides) under soil metagenome. RNAcentral describes it as "partial contains 5.8S ribosomal RNA, internal transcribed spacer 2, and large subunit ribosomal RNA". The stretch from base 1 to 122 matches the Rfam family "5.8S ribosomal RNA", at positions 35 to 154 of the family's 154-position model. The record is from RNAcentral.